CCUACGGGAGGCAGCAGUGAGGAAUAUUGGUCAAUGGGCGGGAGGCUGAACCAGCCAAGUCGCGUGAGGGAAGAAGGCACUAUGGGUUGUAAACCUCUUUUGUCAGGGAAGAAAGAAGGCGACGUGUCGCAUGAUGCCUGUACCUGAUGAAUAAGCAUCGGCUAACUCCGUGCCAGCAGCCGCGGUAAUACGGAGGAUGCGAGCGUUAUCCGGAUUUAUUGGGUUUAAAGGGUGCGCAGGCGGGUGAUCAAGUCAGCGGUAAAAUGUUGGGGCUCAACCCCAUCCAGCCGUUGAAACUGGUGAUCUUGAGUGGGCGAGAAGUAUGCGGAAUGCGUGGUGUAGCGGUGAAAUGCAUAGAUAUCACGAAGAACUCCGAUUGCGAAGGCAGCAUACCGGCGCCCUACUGACGCUGAGGCACGAAAGCGUGGGUAUCGAACAGGAUUAGAUACCCUUGUAGUC
This 459-nucleotide ribosomal RNA is filed under the name uncultured bacterium. RNAcentral describes it as "partial 16S ribosomal RNA". It matches the Rfam family "Bacterial small subunit ribosomal RNA", at positions 338 to 795 of the family's 1533-position model. The record is from RNAcentral.